This is a long non-coding RNA of Pan troglodytes (chimpanzee), 1716 nucleotides long. RefSeq lists it as uncharacterized. The record is from RefSeq and is a predicted model, not a curated record. The transcript has 3 exons. Lineage: Eukaryota; Metazoa; Chordata; Mammalia; Primates; Hominidae.
GACUAUGUCCCAUGAAUUUGCACUCUAAGCAGACUUCCUAGGUAACUCUGAAACAGGUGGUCUGUAGACCACACUUUAAGAAUUAUCUUCAAGGAUUGGGCUAGUUUUAGUUUGUAGUGAUUUCUUGUGUCUCUUAAUGAAGGCCUAGACAAUAUAGUCUGGAUUGAUUGGAUAAACACAGAGGAACAAGAGCGCGGCAGAAUUGUACCAUGCAUGCAGCAGGCCAUGCUCUACACGGGCCUCUCAGGAUGCAGCAGAGAGGUACCCUGGAUAUACAGGCUUUUUGGAAUACUGAUGUGAGUGUUGAGGCCAGAAAAAUGAAGCUAGGUGGUAUUGGAGGAGAAUCUCUGAAGACUGCUCUCAGUAGGCUGACAACAAGUUAAGAUGAAUGUGUAACUGUUUUCUACAUUCUUCUUACUGCUAUAAAAAUAAUUGAAAUGCAGAAUGCUUAACUUCAUUCAGCUGUAAGCCUUGUAAGAACAUCAAUAAAAAUUUAAAAAUUCUAUUCCUGUUCUUUCAUUUUUCUAGUUUCCCUGGGUGUCUCUCAUCACCCUGCCUAAUCCUUUCCUACAAAACUUUUCUUCUUGAAACUUGAGCUCUACUUUUAUUACUUUUUCCAUUAUGUAAAAGGUAACUUAAAAAAAUGUAUAAAACAUUUAUGUGUUUAUGUUACAGUUUUGACAGUUGUGGAAAAAAGUGAAAUUGGUUAUUGCUACCUCAAUGAAAUUAUUUUGUUAAUACUUCAAAGAUAAUUUUUAUGUAAUUCACACUGGAGACAAGUUUGAUUAUUGAUUUCUAUAAUAGAACAUAAUUAUUUUGGGUGGGAACAUUUAAAUUUGCCUGAAAAAAGGCUGUUUUUCAUCUAAGCCUUUAAAACGGCUGGAAUUUAUCACAUGUUAAAAGUUUAGGGUCUGACCAGGUGAUAUAGAAAUGACCAACCAUUUCUUCCAUAAGCUUACUAGUAAAUGGAGAAGGCAUUUUUGGUAAAUACUAUAAUCUUCUCUUGCAUUAGAUUGAUUAGAUUUUUCCUUUUUAAAAUUUCUUUAAAGUGACAAGUGUAAAAAUAGACUAGUGAGGACUAAAUUAUUUCUACUCAGAAUGAUUUUAUUUGUUCAUAACUAUUCUAGAAGAAAGUGAAAAACUUUAAGUAUAUAUGGAGUUUGAUGCAAUAUGAAAUGUAUGAGUGUGGUAUUUUAGCUAUCUGGUGCAAUAUAAGGUCAUUACUUUGGAAGAAAAAUUUCAUAUCCUUAUAGGUCCCCAUGAUAGUCUUUUGCACCAAUGAAAGAAUAUAAAACAUUAGCUCAGCCUCUUGGUUUAUAAUCUGUGAAGUUUUGAGUAUAUUGUUGAGUUUUAAAAACAAGGAAACGUGAAUUAUAAAGAAAUCUUAAGUGUUGCGGUUGAAUGCAAAAGUUAGUUCAUUUGGGGGAAGUAUAUUGGCUCAAUCCUAUAGGCUAAUUAUCCAAAUUUUAUUAAGAUUGGAUAUAUUUCCAUCACAGAUUUCUUUAUUUCUAGUUGACUUAGGAUAGUUUCAUACUGGUAACAAUAAAAAAAGAGAGUUAAAAUAAUUACCAGAAUACUUCAAGUGAGAAAGUGAUUCUCCUUAAAUAUUAAGUUUAAUGAGGCUAAAAAUGUUCUUUUGGGUAACCUCUGAGCCAGUCUUCCCUAACCCACCUACAGUAGUGAACCAAAUUUAGUACCUAAUGCAAAUAUAUUUUU